GUACUACUCCAUCUGUUCGGAAAUACUUGUCAUCGAAAUGAAUGCAUCUAGAUGUAUUUUAAUUCUAGAUACAUCAAUUUUCAUCCAUUUAUGCGACAAGUAUUUCCGGACGGAGGGUGUAGGUG
Triticum aestivum (bread wheat) is the source of this 125-nucleotide non-coding RNA. The record is from Rfam. Lineage: Eukaryota; Viridiplantae; Streptophyta; Magnoliopsida; Poales; Poaceae.